This is a small nuclear RNA of Peromyscus maniculatus bairdii (prairie deer mouse), 168 nucleotides long. Its record names the gene U1. It matches the Rfam family "U1 spliceosomal RNA". Rfam says of the family: U1 is a small nuclear RNA (snRNA) component of the spliceosome (involved in pre-mRNA splicing). Its 5' end forms complementary base pairs with the 5' splice junction, thus defining the 5' donor site of an intron. Lineage: Eukaryota; Metazoa; Chordata; Mammalia; Rodentia; Cricetidae. The record is from Ensembl.
AUGCUUAUCUGGCAGGGGAGACACCAUAAUCACAAAAUUGCCCAUCCAGGUCAAGGCUUAUGUGUUACACUCCAGAUAUGCUGAUCCCUGUGAUUUCCCUAAAGGGAUUUCCCUCAGCUUGACUGCCUAAUUUGUGGUAGUGGUGGACUGCAUUCAUGCUCUCCCCUG